GACGAACGCUGGCGGCGUGCUUAACACAUGCAAGUCGAACGGAAAGGCCCAGCUUGCUGGGUACUCGAGUGGCGAACGGGUGAGUAACACGUGGGUGAUCUGCCCCUGACUCUGGGAUAAGCCUGGGAAACUGGGUCUAAUACCGGAUAUGACCAUUCCCUGCAUGGGGGGUGGUGGAAAGCUUUUGCGGUUGGGGAUGGGCCCGCGGCCUAUCAGCUUGUUGGUGGGGUAAUGGCCCACCAAGGCGACGACGGGUAGCCGACCUGAGAGGGUGAUCGGCCACACUGGGACUGAGACACGGCCCAGACUCCUACGGGAGGCAGCAGUGGGGAAUAUUGCACAAUGGGCGCAAGCCUGAUGCAGCGACGCCGCGUGAGGGAUGACGGCCUUCGGGUUGUAAACCUCUUUCGCCAGGGACGAAGCGCAAGUGACGGUACCUGGAGAAGAAGCACCGGCCAACUACGUGCCAGCCGCCGCAGUAA
This 482-nucleotide ribosomal RNA is filed under the name uncultured bacterium. RNAcentral describes it as "partial 16S ribosomal RNA". It matches the Rfam family "Bacterial small subunit ribosomal RNA", at positions 28 to 523 of the family's 1533-position model. The record is from RNAcentral.